Molecule: long non-coding RNA, 1877 nt
Organism: Anguilla anguilla (European eel)
Lineage: Eukaryota; Metazoa; Chordata; Actinopteri; Anguilliformes; Anguillidae
Exons: 2
Source: RefSeq, a predicted model, not a curated record
AUCUGCAUGAAUAUGUAAAUUUCGAUGUUCAUGGAUGGUUUGUGUUCAUGUAGCAUUUUUCAAAAUCUCUGAGCACUUUAUUGUGAAAGGAGAGGAGAUCCUCAGCCAUCACCACCAACGUGUAACACCCGUCUUGGUGAUGGACGGCGGCCAUUUUGUCAUCGUACAUCAGUAGAUGCACUUGAGAUGAUCUGAACAUCAAAUGCAGUAGACUGUGAAAACGAAACCGUGGAGCCUGCUAGUUUUCAGCUUUAUCUAAUGUGGUCUGCAGGACGCAUUCAGUUUACUGGCGUACUCGGACCGCUGGAGCAGCCCGGUUGGGCACCAGCUGGACUCCAUACAGAGGAAACCGGUGUGCUCCACCCUCAACAGUGCAAUAUUAGGCAUCCCAGUGCUUGUCAAUCAUGGCCCGCUCAGGGAGCGGCUCCUGCGCCUUUGCCUCCUUGGAUGACUACCUGCACUAGCUAUGCAAGCUCCGCCCACAGCAACCGGACAUUUCCGACGCACGGAGACGGAACGGCCCGCGCCCGAGGAACAGGCGACCUCGUUUUUUUAAUUAGCUAAUUACUGGGGGACAGGCUCUGAUUGUCACUUAACUUCAGUUUCCUAGUUUACAAAGGCAUGGUGCAAACUAUUCUUGCCGUUAUUAUCAUCAUUAUUACUAUUAUUAUUAUUAGCAGCCUAUCUUGCAUAUAAGAUCUAUUUGUUCCCAUUUUGAAAAGUAGUGUGGUGCAUGCCACCGAUAAAUAAAUAAAGGCCCCUAAAGUAUACCACCUAAUAAGUCACAUGGCGUUCCGAGAAUCGUUGUUUUAUAGGACCAUGCACAUUUACCACAAGGAUGGUAUAUGUGUCUGUGUGUGUGUUUCUGUGCAUGUGCGUGUGUGUAUAUAAAAUAUACAUUACAUAAAUAUAUAUUUAAAAAUUUAACUGACUUAUAUUGAAGAAAUACUGAGUUACCAAACAAAAACCAGAAAUAAGGGAUAGAAAUUUGUGGCAGAAGUUUCUAUGGACACUUAGUGUAAGGCACUGUAUGGGGGUGACUCUGGUCAAUGGAUUUGGGUGAUUUGAAAUGUAAUUGAUGAAGAAGAUGAAAAUGGUAUAUGGUGUGUGUCAUUUAUGAUACUUGCAUCCAAGAAAGAGCUGGUUCUGAUGCUUUAUAAACAAGGACGUUACCAACUUGUCUGCUUGCUACUUUUAAGUUUUUUUUAAAAAUAACUUGCCUCAGAGGUCACCUCUAUGUUUUUCCUUGACAGUAUCACUCAUGGGUAGGACAUAGAACAUGUAACUGUGUUCCCAUUUAUGUCUGUGUGGACACGUUUAUAUUGCUGUGGCAACCUAGAUUGCAUCAACUUUCUACUUAUUACCAAGGUCAUAUCAUCAGGAGUCUAUGUCAUUCAUUUUAAGAGCUUCUAAAGCAGUGGAACCACCUCUGUCAUGGAAUCAAGUCCAUAGUUGCUAAUGCACAGCAUAUCAACAUACAAAUCGUCAAAACAAUGAAUAGUAGUUAUUUUGUUCCAGUGUUUCCAUCAGUCCCCACACUUCUCAGAGAGUACAAAGACCAGCAAAAAAGGAAGGUUUAAAGUGACGUUGGUUUGACCAUUCUUUUCUUUAAGUGUAUUCGUGUCAAAGCUCGUCCUCGAACCUUGCACAACUCAGGAGCCCGAUGCCCUCCCUCAUCUGUGCUGCAGACGUAGGAGUAUUUUUAUUUUUGUUAUUUUUUCCCGUUCGAUUUCUCUUUUCGCUUUCCUAGCCUGACUCUGAAACUCGGUAAACUUCCAUUGUACACAUUUGCCAAUGUAGAGGGAUAAAAACCAAACAGUAUUGUCGACACUGUGUGGUAAUUGCAUCUACAAUAAAAAGUAAAAAAAGAAUACCAA